This 405-nucleotide ribosomal RNA is filed under the name uncultured bacterium. Its description in RNAcentral is "bacterial SSU rRNA". It matches the Rfam family "Bacterial small subunit ribosomal RNA", at positions 354 to 776 of the family's 1533-position model. The record is from RNAcentral.
GUGGGGAAUAUUGCACAAUGGGGGAAACCCUGAUGCAGCAACGCCGCGUGAGUGAAGAAGUAUUUCGGUAUGUAAAGCUCUAUCAGCAGGGAAGAAAAUGACGGUACCUGACUAAGAAGCACCGGCUAAAUACGUGCCAGCAGCCGCGGUAAUACGUAUGGUGCAAGCGUUAUCCGGAUUUACUGGGUGUAAAGGGAGCGUAGACGGAUGGGCAAGUCUGAUGUGAAAACCCGGGGCUCAACCCCGGGACUGCAUUGGAAACUGUUCAUCUAGAGUGCUGGAGAGGUAAGUGGAAUUCCUAGUGUAGCGGUGAAAUGCGUAGAUAUUAGGAGGAACACCAGUGGCGAAGGCGGCUUACUGGACAGUAACUGACGUUGAGGCUCGAAAGCGUGGGGAGCAAACAGG